AGAACGAACGCUGGCGGCGUGCUUAACACAUGCAAGUCGGAUGCGAACGGCGCUUUCGGGCGUUGAGUAGCAUGGCAGACGGGUGAGGAGCGCGUAUCUGACUGGACUCAGGCUGGGGGAUAGUCCCUCGAAAGGGGGUUGAAUACCGCAUGUGCUCGGUGCUGUGAGGGCAUCGAGGAAAGUUGGCCUCUGCGGGCACGCUGAUGGCCUGAGACAGGGAUGCGUCCUAUUAGCUAGCUGGUGGGGUAAGGGCCUACCAGGGCGACGAUGGGUAGCUGGUCUGAGAGGAUGAUCAGCCACACUGGGACUGCGACACGGCCCAGACUCCUACGGGAGGCAGCAGUGGGGAAUUUUGCGCAAUGGGCGCAAGCCUGACGCAGCAACGCCGCGUGCAUGACGACGCCUUUCGAGGUGUAAAGUGCUGUCGACCGGGACGAAGGGGCGAGGGUGAACAGCUUUCGCGCAUGACGGUACCGGUGGAGGAAGCCCCGGCUAACUCCGUGCCAGCAGCCGCGGUAAGACGGAGGGGGCGAGCGUUGUUCGGAAUUACUGGGCGUAAAGCGCGCGUAGGCGGUGCAGCAAGUGGUGCGUGAAAGCCCUCGGCUUAACCGGGGACGGGCGUGCCAAACUGUUGGACUGGAGUGCCGGAGGGGGAGGCGGAAUUCCUGGUGGAGCGGUGAAAUGCGUAGAGAUCAGGAAGAACGUCGGUGGCGAAGGCGGNCUCCUGGACGGACACUGACGCUGAGGUGCGACAGCGUGGGGAGCGAACGGGAUUAGAUACCCCGGU
RNAcentral lists this ribosomal RNA (787 nucleotides) under uncultured organism. RNAcentral's name for it is "bacterial SSU rRNA". It matches the Rfam family "Bacterial small subunit ribosomal RNA", at positions 26 to 791 of the family's 1533-position model. The record is from RNAcentral.